RNAcentral lists this non-coding RNA (26 nucleotides) under Homo sapiens (human). The record is from RNAcentral. Lineage: Eukaryota; Metazoa; Chordata; Mammalia; Primates; Hominidae.
UGUAUAACAAGUGUGGCACCUCUUUC